RNAcentral lists this long non-coding RNA (689 nucleotides) under Homo sapiens (human). RNAcentral describes it as "HSALNT0405196". The record is from RNAcentral. Lineage: Eukaryota; Metazoa; Chordata; Mammalia; Primates; Hominidae.
CUGGUUAGAGAGGACAGUCAGGAGGGGCAACAUCAGGCUUCAAGCUGUGUGAAAGGGGAAGUUUUGCUCAGCAGCAAGUUCUCUCUGGAUUAAGAGUUUUGUGAUUGGCAGCCACAGUGAACUAGAGAGACGCGUCUGCCAGGGAGAGCCUGCACCUCCCACAAGGUGGCCUCAGGAAAGGAGUCUGUAUUCUGCAAUCACUGACUUGCUGCUGAAAAAUCCAGAUGAAAAGAAAGGCGGGGCUUUCCUGCUGGCUUCAGUCUGGAGAUCUGACUCCAGCUUCCUGCUGGCCACCAGGCAGGGGUGGUGGAAGGAGCGGUUUUUGCAGGCAGACGACUUCGAUCAUAAACUACCAAGAUACCUGGAGCGAUCAGAUGAGCCUCGGCCUACUCUUGAAGCUAAAGGAAGGCUGCUAGCAAGACUGGCAUCUGGGCUUGGCUGUGCGUGUUUUCCAUUGUGGGAAAAUAUACAUAACACAAUAUUUGUAAUUUGAACCUUUUAACCAAAGUGUGCACGCAGUGGCAUUGAAUAUAUUCACUUACACUUAAGGCACAAUGACAAGGCAGCAAAGGGCUGUUGGGUGAUUAGUUCACCACACUUGUUGCAACUGUUUGUACUGCAGAGUUAAAACAUACCAGCAUUCAACCCAUGUCUCCUCUCUUGAAAUAAACUGUCCCCUUUGCAAGGGA